This 369-nucleotide ribosomal RNA is filed under the name uncultured bacterium. Its description in RNAcentral is "bacterial SSU rRNA". It matches the Rfam family "Bacterial small subunit ribosomal RNA", at positions 35 to 405 of the family's 1533-position model. The record is from RNAcentral.
GGCUGGCGGCAUCGCUUAACUACAUGCAGUCGAACGGUAACAGGCCGCUGGGAUCCCUUCGGGGUGAGCGCUGACGAGUGGCGGACGGGUGAGUAACGCGUAGGAAUCUGCCUGGCAGCGGGGGACAACUCCGGGAAACCGGAGCUAAUACCGCAUACGCCCUACGGGGGAAAGACGGGGAUCUUCGGACCUGUCACUGCAAGAUGAGCCUGCGUCGGAUUAGCUUGUUGGUGGGGUAACGGCCUACCAAGGCGACGAUCUGUAGCUGGUCUGAAGGAUGACAGUCACACUGGACUGAGACACGCCAACUCCUACGGAAGCGCAGUGGGAAUAUUGGACAUGGCACAGCUGAUCCACAUGCCGUUGUAA